Molecule: unclassified non-coding RNA, 304 nt
Organism: Erinaceus europaeus (western European hedgehog)
Lineage: Eukaryota; Metazoa; Chordata; Mammalia; Eulipotyphla; Erinaceidae
Gene: 7SK
Rfam family: 7SK RNA
About the family: 7SK was discovered as an abundant small nuclear RNA in the mid-70s but a possible function has only recently been suggested.
Source: Ensembl
GAAUGUGAGGGCAAUUUGGAUGCCGUCUUUAUCAUCCUAUUGAUCACCAAGGUUGAGCUGGCUGAUCUGACUAUCUAGGCUGCUGUCCCUUUCCUCCUUCACAGUUACAAAGAUGAAUGCUCAGAACACCAUGUAAGAGAAAAGAGAUGAAUGGGCUUCCAGUGGAGUCUAUACAAGUACUCGCAUUCCCCUGCUAGAACUGCCAAAUAAGCUCUCAAGAUCAUCUUAUGGAGAUUUGUGCCCAGAACUUGAGAAGUCUUCUCUUCACUUCAAGUAGUCAGUGCCAGGGUUACACUGCCACAUU